CGACCACAGAGCGGGAACAUUUUCAAUUAGAAUCAAAGAAGUUUUCUCAGAGUAGACCAGAGUAGACCAAAAUAGUAAAUUUUUACGGACAUAAACAACUGGCUGCAGCAUCGCUGAUGUGUGUCAAUGAUUGAAAUUUAAGCACUAAAAAGAAAUAGUCGUGAAAAUGACAUAGAGUCGAAGUUGAUUUAAUUGAGAUAAUCAUUUACGAUGAACGAAUUAAAAGUUGUUCCUCCGAUAAUCCAAGUAUCUGUACGUAGUACGUACGAUUAGUGCGAAAGCCACAGAGCUUUGAUUUUGACAUGACAAGCACUACAGGUUACUAGUGUGCUGAUGUUAUACUCAUAAACAUAUGUUUCAAAAAGAUUCAUCGAUUCACUCGAGCAAAUUGAAAGAGCGAACUUUGGUUCACAAGAGAAUAACGGACCUCGCAGAGCUGCAGAGGAUUUACGAUAUAGGGGAGGUCUUAGGAAAAGGUAGUUUCGGUACGGUCGUCAAAGCGAAUUACAAAGGAUCUACUGUGAAUUGGGCGAUUAAGAUCAUCAAUAAGUCUCAAGCCGGAGCGUCGAGAAUACUGCUUGUCGAACGAGAGAUCCACAUUCUUAAGUUAGUCAAUCAUCCGAAUAUAAUUCUUCUGGACCGUGUCUUCGAAUCACCAAAGGUGAAAACUAUUCAGCACAACACUGAUUGAAUACGAAUGGAUGCAACGAAUAAUUGUUUUCGGAAUUCCCAGACUAUUUAUUUGGUGUUCGAGUUUUGCACGGGAUCAUUGGCAAGAACUUUCAAAGUGAAGAAGCGUUUUGAAGAGAAAGACACGCUGACGGUUAUUCGUAGCUUGGCCGGUGCUCUAUCGUACCUCCACAAAAAUGGUCAGUUAUUGAUUCGAGCGAUAGAUUUAUGAAUCCAGCACAUUCCAUACAUGAAAUGACGAAACAGAUAUCGUGCAUCGUGACCUCAAGUUGGAAAAUAUUUUGAUCGCCGCGCACCCGGAAAAUCCUGCCGACAAUUUGUUUAUCAAGAUUACGGAUUUCGGACUCAGUGCGGUACGAGGAGGAACGGGAUAUGACAGUAUGCUACAUGACUGCUGCGGCACUCCAACAUAUAUGGGUGAAUUGUCGUAAUUUAAAAUCUUCUUCGCAAAUGACAGUUAACAAUGAUGCUAUGUCUACGUAUCUACACAGCGCCGGAAAUGAUCGCUACGAAGUCCUACAGCCAGCAGUGUGACGUGUGGUCAAUGGGGAUUAUAAUGUAUCUUUUACUUGUUGGAAAGUUUCCAUUUUAUUCCACCAAUGAUCAACAGCUUCAUUUGCUCGUUCAGACGCAUGAGCUCGAUUUUUCGGGUUUACCUUGCUCGCUAGAAGCAAAGCAUCUUUUGAGCAAGAUGCUUCAAAAAAAUCCAGCCUUCCGCAUGACUGCAGCAGAGGUUGGGAAUCAUCCCUGGAUAUCAGGUACCCAGGCAAGGGUUCGUGCUUAUCCUUCAAACGUCUUAGAUAUGAUGAGAAUGUGGCGACAAGAAAUUAUGGAACAGUCGGAGGAGAGUUCCGUUGCAACCGUUGAGAGUUACGACACAGUUUCUCGAACAGUUAUCCCUACGUCGCCUGCUACGGUUACCACAGAACACAGAGCUCAGAUUUUCACUACCCCAGCUUCCGAUAUCCAUAGUAAUAACGUCAACGAUCGGACUCUAAUGAGCGGUAUAGCGAGACCAUCAGCUGCGGAGUCGUCAGUGGAAAGAAGACGCACAACAGGCUCCGAACGUCGCCGGUUGAGUUCUCGAUUACCAGAUUUUAGUCAUAUUCCAGCAAAAGUCGAUUCAAAUUUAGCUAAUUUACGGAGGGAGACUCAAGCCCAGAGAAAACGAAGUUAUUCUCGGAACAAUCAUCCUGCGCCAGCGAAAUAAUUAACAUUAAAUAAGGCGCGUCACGAGUGUAAAUAUUAUAUUAAUUGGUGUACGAACUAUAAAUAUGCGUAUUUAUGUGGAUAAAAAAUGUGCCCUCAAUUGGAAAAUAGAUACCUGAUCUGUAUGACGAAUCACAAUUAAAUUUCUUUACGAUAAGAGUAACAUAGCCAGUAAUAAAAAUGGCAUGAAGAUGCGUACAUGCACGUAGUAUGCAUACAUGACUCGUUCGAAUUCGAUGGGUUCGCGCCCCACAUUACCUCUGGGGCGCUGCUUUCGCGUGCGCCACAAACACAUAUUCACAAAUUUAUAUACUGUAUCAUACAUAUGUGUAUCGUUCAACUCCCCCCGCUCACAAGUGCCAAAUCUCCAUCCGUCAACGCAAGCUGUCAGUUUUAGGUGUAGGUUACGAGCAGGUGAUUAAUUGUAAAAUUUUCGUCAAAGAUUGUGAAUAUGAACGAUUACGGAAUGCCAAUUAUUGAACCUACCAUUGAUUUCACUAAGGAAGAUGAAUUUUGUCUUGCUCACUCACCGAAGAAUUACACCUACUUCUUUCGUAGACCAAAUUCAAGGAAUAAUAGUAGCGACUUUAAAACAUAUCUCAAAAUAUCUUAACUACCAAAGUAUGCGAUGGCUAUUGUCCCAAUUAUCCAAACUGAAGUUAAGACCGAUCUUGGGUUUUAGGUACCACCGAUUCAC
Molecule: RNA transcript, 2596 nt
Organism: Athalia rosae (coleseed sawfly)
Lineage: Eukaryota; Metazoa; Arthropoda; Insecta; Hymenoptera; Athaliidae
Gene: CCDC53
Gene name: WASH complex subunit 3
Exons: 7
Source: RefSeq, a predicted model, not a curated record